This 430-nucleotide ribosomal RNA is filed under the name Pseudomonadota bacterium. RNAcentral describes it as "Proteobacteria bacterium partial 16S ribosomal RNA". It matches the Rfam family "Bacterial small subunit ribosomal RNA", at positions 355 to 776 of the family's 1533-position model. Lineage: Bacteria; Pseudomonadati; Pseudomonadota. The record is from RNAcentral.
UGGGGAAUAUUGGACAAUGGGGGGAACCCUUAUCCAGCCAUGCCGCGUGUGUGAAGAAGGCCUUAUGGUUGUAAAGCACUUUAAGCGAGGAGGAGGGUACUGGUAUUAAUACUACCAGCUACUGGACGUUACUCGCAGAAUAAGCACCGGCUAACUCUGUGCCAGCAGCCGCGGUAAUACAGAGGGUGCGAGCGUUAAUCGGAUUUACUGGGCGUAAAGCGUGCGUAGGCGGCUAAUUGAGUCGGAUGUGAAAUCCCCGAGCUUAACUUGGGAAUUGCAUUCGAUACUGGUUAGCUAGAGUGUGGGAGAGGAUGGUAGAAUUCCAGGUGUAGCGGUGAAAUGCGUAGAGAUCUGGAGGAAUACCGAUGGCGAAGGCAGCCAUCUGGCCUAACACUGACGCUGAAGUGCGAAAGCGUGGGGAGCAAACAGG